Molecule: long non-coding RNA, 2161 nt
Organism: Canis lupus familiaris (dog)
Lineage: Eukaryota; Metazoa; Chordata; Mammalia; Carnivora; Canidae
Exons: 2
Source: RefSeq, a predicted model, not a curated record
CUGACCAAGCACAGCCCCAGCUGCCCCCUUCCAUUACACUCUCUCUCUCUCUCUCUCUCUCUCUCUCUCACACACACACACACACACACACACACACGAGUGGACACAUAGGCACAGACAUAACCAGAAUUGUCAGGAAGAAAGUUUGUGCCCUUAGUGGGUAGCUGUCUCCUCUGGAAAGUGAGAGGGAAGGAGUUGGAUUAGAUGUUCUUUGAUGUCCUUUCUGACUCUGACCCCAAUUCUAUAAUGGGGUGAAGGUACAAGAUAAGAAAGAAGAGCCUCAGAAAAACAAACACAUGAAAACACGUAGCACAAGGCCUGACAUCCAGUAGGUGCUCAAUAAAUAUCACCUACCCUCCUUCCUUUUCUUUUACCAGCAACACUUUAGGUGCCACAAACUUUUUCUUUUUUUUUUUUUUUUUUAAAGGGAUGAGAGUGCAUUGAGGGAGGGCUGAGGAGGGGAAAGAAGAAGCAAAGGGGAAACAAAUGGGUUGAGCUUGGUUUAAACUCCAGGCACCCUCUAGGCUAACUGCUAGAAAAGGCAGCUUUAUCCGUACACCAUCAUUCUUGGCUUUUUUUUUUUUUUUUUUCAGGAACUGGAGGGAUGCUUAGAUAAUUGUCAGACCUAAGUGAGUAGAUGAGAAGGAGAAUGAGUGAUAAAGACAGGAGAAAAGGUGGUGCCUUUGAUGAAGUUAGGCAAGGGGUGCUAAGACCACUAGACUGAAUUCAGAUCUUGAUUCAGCAUUUAGUAACUGUGUGGACUUGAGCAAAUGACUGCAUUACUGUUUCUUUAGCUGGAACAUACCGGUCAUAUCACCUUGCCCAGGUGAUCUGAAAAUCACCCCAAAUGGUGCAUGAGAAUGUGCAUUAAAAAUGAAAGUAAAGAGCUGUUUACGUUACACUAAUGGGUUUUAAGAUUAUAAUUGCAGCACCAGUGUGGGACCCCUUGUUGAAAGUUAUGAAUUUCAAGAUGGCCACAGAAGAGAAGCAAACCAAGCAUGGGCCCUUUUGAGAUCAGGGCCCCAUGCUGACUGCAUGUGGCACGCCCAGAAAGCUGACCCUUGGGUAAUUGCCUCACAGAUGCAUUAGACUCUUACAGACCUUUCUGUAUGUGUGUUUGUUUGUUUUAUUGGCCUAGCACAUGGAUUCAUCUUCAACAUCAGGGUCUUAGCCUUGAGUGGAGCGCCAUUUCUUCUUAUAUUAUUGCCCUGGCACUGUUCUGGCACAUGGUGGUCUCCUUUUUUUUUUUUUUUUUUUUGUAUAUUUUUUUAUUGGAGUUUGAUUUGCCAACAUAUAGCAUUAUACCCAGUGCUUAUUCCAUCAAGUGCCUCCCUCAGUGCCCGUCACCCAGUCACCCCCACCCCCCGCCCACCUCCCUUUCCACCACCCCUUGUUCGUUUCCCAGAGUUAGGUGUCUCUCAUGUUCUGUCACCCUCACUGAUAUUUCCCACAUGGUGGUCUCCUGAUGGAAAUAUUCCUGGUGGAUUGAGGUGGCCUCUGUGUCAUCAUUGCUAAGUAUGUCUCAGCACCCUGGGCUUGCCAUGAAACUCUACCCCAACCAACACCUGGUUUCUACUGUAGCAAGUAUCAUCCCCUCCUUCAGUCAAUCUACUUACCUCCUCUUCCCUUCCCUAAUAAUAAUAUUUGCUUGGCAUUUCACAGUACACAGUGCACCUCUACAUAUGCUUAUUUAGUAACCAGUAGGAGUUUAUUGAGCAUAUACUAGGUGUCCAGCCAGUGCUGGGCAUUUUAAGGGACACAGAAUAAGUAUGAAUCAUCCUUGUCACUGAGAGGCUUAUGGUCUAGUAGUAGGGGUAGGAGGAGUGGGGGCAGCAGUUCUCUUACAUGUGGGUCAAUCAACUUAAGUUAGUAAAUAGGUCAGGUAAUGUAGCAGCAAGCAUGUUGAAGAGUCAGAGGCCAAGGGCUUGAGUGGGGAGAAUUAGCUCGCUAAAAUGAUAUGGAUUGUCUCCUAGAUGCUAUAGAUUUAGUUCCUUCGUGUAUGAAGUGAAAGUGAUGAUGCUUAUGUGUCCACCUAUCAGGGCACCUAUCAGUGAGGAUGAAACUAAGUAACAGAAAAGCAAAAAGACUUGAAAAUUGGGAGUUCUUGAAUAUAUAUGUACACGAUUUGACUGUGUGGUGGAGAGAAGGGGAGAGCAGUCAG